AAAGUUUUAUUCUUACUUAAUAAUUUAUUGGUUGAAUAUUUUACAUGUAAAUUUUUGUGAGAACUAAUGAUAAUCUAAAGGAUUAUGGUUAUUUUAUUCGCAGUAUUUGGUUUUAGUAAUUAAAGUAAUUUAGAAUUAGUAAUUUGAAUUAUGAUCGACAAAAGUCGUGCCAGCAGUCGCGGUUAUACGUAGGAUUUAAAUAAAUGUUAUUAGUAUUGAAGUUAAUUUUGUUUUAAAUUUUUAAUUGAUUUUAGAAGGUAGAAUUUUAAAAUUGAAUAUAAUUUGUUUUGAUAAUGAAGCUUUGAAAUUUAAAAUUUAAACUAGGAUUAGAUACCCUAUUAUUUUUAAAUGUGAAAUAAUAUAUACUAGAGUAGUAAUAGUUAAGUUCUUGAAACUUAAAGAAUUUGGCGGUGUUUUAGUCUUUUCAGAGGAAUCUGUCCUGUAAUUGAUAAUACACAUUAUAUUAGAUUUAAUUUUGUAAUGUCAGCUUGUAUACCGCCGUCGUAAGAUUAUCUUUUAAGAGAAAAAAUUUUCUAGAAUUUUAAUUAAAAUUUAUGUCAGGUCAAGGUGCAGUUUAUGAUUAAGUAGUAGAUGGAUUACAAUAAGAUGAAUAUUUAAACGGAUGUUAUAUUGAAAUUAGUAAUUAAAGGUGGAUUUGAAAGUAAUAUUGUUAGAUUAUGAUAAUAUGAUUAUAGCUCUAAAACAUGUACACAUCGCCCGUCGCUCUCAUUAAUUAAGGUGAGAUAAGUCGUAACAUAGUAGAUGUACUGGAAAGUGUAUCUAGAAUGU
This 789-nucleotide non-coding RNA is filed under the name Decma fissa. RNAcentral's name for it is "12S ribosomal RNA". The stretch from base 369 to 783 matches the Rfam family "Microsporidia small subunit ribosomal RNA", at positions 752 to 1303 of the family's 1311-position model. The record is from RNAcentral. Lineage: Eukaryota; Metazoa; Arthropoda; Insecta; Orthoptera; Tettigoniidae.